UUCAGAGUCUGGUGGAUUUGGAUUUGAACCUCAAGAAGCUUGGGUCCAGAUUGUUGGUGCUUAAAAGGCGACCCCAGCGAGGUCAUCGUUCGUUGCCUAAAGAAGUGGGAUGUGAAAAAGCUUUGCUUUGAGUAUGACAUUGAACCAUAUUACCAAGCUCUAGAUGUUAAAGUCAGGGAUUUUACAUUCGCGGCUGGGAUUGAGGUUUUCAGUCCUGUAAGUCAUACGCUGUUCAAUCCAGGGGAGAUUAUACAGAAUGUGAGGUUUUUGAACUAAUUUGUUAAGUGAUUUUAUGAUGGAGGGUUUUGUUAUAUGUGGGUUUGAUUGAUGGAUAAUUUAGUUGAUGGCAUAAAAGAAUGGGGGAAGGCCACCUUUGAGUUAUCAAUCAUUUGUAACUCUAAAGAGUGGGGAAAGCUCUGCAGUGCCUCGAACAAGACAUAGUCGAGGUCCCAAAGGAUCGUCAGAGAGAAAAAGGAUCCUCUAAUGGUAUUGACAGUGAAAUGGGCUUUCAAGCUUGCUUAUGGAAAACUGCCUGGAGAGAUUCGGUUGGUCAGUUUAUAGAAGCUAGCAUUGCCACUCAAUAUAAGAAACCCAUAACCC
Molecule: long non-coding RNA, 600 nt
Organism: Rosa chinensis
Lineage: Eukaryota; Viridiplantae; Streptophyta; Magnoliopsida; Rosales; Rosaceae
Exons: 4
Source: RefSeq, a predicted model, not a curated record